Spodoptera litura is the source of this 409-nucleotide long non-coding RNA. RefSeq lists it as uncharacterized. Lineage: Eukaryota; Metazoa; Arthropoda; Insecta; Lepidoptera; Noctuidae. The record is from RefSeq and is a predicted model, not a curated record.
AAGAGCUACCAGGGUAGCAGAAAAUAUUGCAAUUAAAAUUAUAACAGUAAUCAGGACCAUACAAUGAAACUGACGGCGCUGUUCGUGAUGCUGAUGGCGGUGCUCGCGCUUUUCGCGGGUGGUGUGUGUUCGGCUCCAAACCCAGAUCCUAAGGUCAACUUCCAAGGACUGAAGAAAGUAGGGAAGGUGGUUAAAACAAUUUUUGGAGUAGCGAGUGGAGCAGCAACUGGCCACGAGUUGUACAAGUCAUACAAAAACAGAGGACAACAAGGGUAAACAUGGUGGAGGAAACCGCGUGCAGCUACUAUCAAACGCGUUCCGACUACAAUGAUAAGUGUAUGAGUUCGAAACCCAGUUGGACAUUGUUAUUGUAAUGUUGUUAUUUGUUAUUAAAAUAUUUUUUUAACUA